This 436-nucleotide ribosomal RNA is filed under the name uncultured bacterium. RNAcentral's name for it is "partial 16S ribosomal RNA". It matches the Rfam family "Bacterial small subunit ribosomal RNA", at positions 28 to 508 of the family's 1533-position model. The record is from RNAcentral.
GAUGAACGCUGGCGGUAUGCUUAACACAUGCCAGUCGAACGGACUCUUCGGAGUUAGUGGCGGACGGGUGAGUAACGCGUGAGAAUCUGGCUUUGGGUUCGGGACAACCACUGGAAACGGUGGCUAAUACCGGAUGUGCCGAGAGGUAAAAGAGAAAUUGCCUGAAGAUGAGCUCGCGUCUGAUUAGCUAGUUGGUGAGGUAAAGGCUCACCAAGGCAGCGAUCAGUAGCUGGUCUGAGAGGAUGACCAGCCACACUGGGACUGAGACACGGCCCAGACUCCUACGGGAGGCAGCAGUGGGGAAUUUUCCGCAAUGGGCGAAAGCCUGACGGAGCAAUACCGCGUGAGGGAAGAAGGCUCUUGGGUUGUAAACCUCUUUUCUUAGGGAAGAACAAAAUGACGGUACCUAAGGAAUCAGCAUCGGCUAACUCCGUGC